This 77-nucleotide transfer RNA is filed under the name Verrucomicrobiota bacterium. RNAcentral's name for it is "Verrucomicrobia bacterium (marine metagenome) tRNA-Met". It matches the Rfam family "tRNA". Rfam says of the family: Transfer RNA (tRNA) molecules are approximately 80 nucleotides in length. Their secondary structure includes four short double-helical elements and three loops (D, anti-codon, and T loops). The record is from RNAcentral. Lineage: Bacteria; Pseudomonadati; Verrucomicrobiota.
UGCGGGGUGGAGCAGUCUGGUAGCUCGUCAGGCUCAUAACCUGAAGGUCCUUGGUUCAAAUCCAAGCCCCGCUACCA